Molecule: long non-coding RNA, 334 nt
Filed under: Musa acuminata (dwarf banana)
Lineage: Eukaryota; Viridiplantae; Streptophyta; Magnoliopsida; Zingiberales; Musaceae
Description: long non-coding RNA (MACU_LNC008767)
Source: RNAcentral
UUGACUUAACCGAGCAUCAUGGUUGGUCGAGUCCCUCGAGGCCAUGGUGAUUCGGAGGCCGAACAGGACGGGAAUCACAAGGAGUUGUGAUCGGCAAGAGUUGCUUACCUUUUAGGCUUAGUGUGAUUGGUCGAGUCCCUCGAGGUUACACUAAGACGCUGAUUGGAUCCUGAUCCCCACUAGAAGUCUGUCGGAGACUUCCGUUUCACGUGCUGAGGGUGUCGCGUGACUCGUCAGUAAAAUAGUGGGAGCAUAUUAAGAUAGAAGUUCAUAUCUUGAUAGUUUAUUUCUUGUAAAAUCUGCAUGUUAUUCAUUUCUGCUGCAUCUUUAUUUU